RNAcentral lists this ribosomal RNA (1606 nucleotides) under Salmonella enterica. RNAcentral's name for it is "partial 23S ribosomal RNA". It matches the Rfam family "Bacterial large subunit ribosomal RNA", at positions 1214 to 2802 of the family's 2925-position model. The record is from RNAcentral. Lineage: Bacteria; Pseudomonadati; Pseudomonadota; Gammaproteobacteria; Enterobacterales; Enterobacteriaceae.
CUGUGUGUUGUUGGGUAGGGGAGCGUUCUGUAAGCCUGUGAAGGUGGCCUGUGAGGGUUGCUGGAGGUAUCAGAAGUGCGAAUGCUGACAUAAGUAACGAUAAAGCGGGUGAAAAGCCCGCUCGCCGGAAGACCAAGGGUUCCUGUCCAACGUUAAUCGGGGCAGGGUGAGUCGACCCCUAAGGCGAGGCCGAAAGGCGUAGUCGAUGGGAAACGGGUUAAUAUUCCCGUACUUGGUGUUACUGCGAAGGGGGGACGGAGAAGGCUAUGUUGGCCGGGCGACGGUUGUCCCGGUUUAAGCGUGUAGGUGUGUGUUCCAGGUAAAUCCGGUUCACUUUAACACUGAGGCGUGACGACGAGGCACUACGGUGCUGAAGCAACAAAUGCCCUGCUUCCAGGAAAAGCCUCUAAGCAUCAGGUAACAUCAAAUCGUACCCCAAACCGACACAGGUGGUCAGGUAGAGAAUACCAAGGCGCUUGAGAGAACUCGGGUGAAGGAACUAGGCAAAAUGGUGCCGUAACUUCGGGAGAAGGCACGCUGACACGUAGGUGAAGUGAUUUACUCAUGGAGCUGAAGUCAGUCGAAGAUACCAGCUGGCUGCAACUGUUUAUUAAAAACACAGCACUGUGCAAACACGAAAGUGGACGUAUACGGUGUGACGCCUGCCCGGUGCCGGAAGGUUAAUUGAUGGGGUCAGCGCAAGCGAAGCUCCUGAUCGAAGCCCCGGUAAACGGCGGCCGUAACUAUAACGGUCCUAAGGUAGCGAAAUUCCUUGUCGGGUAAGUUCCGACCUGCACGAAUGGCGUAAUGAUGGCCAGGCUGUCUCCACCCGAGACUCAGUGAAAUUGAACUCGCUGUGAAGAUGCAGUGUACCCGCGGCAAGACGGAAAGACCCCGUGAACCUUUACUAUAGCUUGACACUGAACAUUGAGCCUUGAUGUGUAGGAUAGGUGGGAGGCUUUGAAGCGUGGACGCCAGUCUGCGUGGAGCCGACCUUGAAAUACCACCCUUUAAUGUUUGAUGUUCUAACGUGGACCCGUGAUCCGGGUUGCGGACAGUGUCUGGUGGGUAGUUUGACUGGGGCGGUCUCCUCCUAAAGAGUAACGGAGGAGCACGAAGGUUGGCUAAUCCUGGUCGGACAUCAGGAGGUUAGUGCAAUGGCAUAAGCCAGCUUGACUGCGAGCGUGACGGCGCGAGCAGGUGCGAAAGCAGGUCAUAGUGAUCCGGUGGUUCUGAAUGGAAGGGCCAUCGCUCAACGGAUAAAAGGUACUCCGGGGAUAACAGGCUGAUACCGCCCAAGAGUUCAUAUCGACGGCGGUGUUUGGCACCUCGAUGUCGGCUCAUCACAUCCUGGGGCUGAAGUAGGUCCCAAGGGUAUGGCUGUUCGCCAUUUAAAGUGGUACGCGAGCUGGGUUUAGAACGUCGUGAGACAGUUCGGUCCCUAUCUGCCGUGGGCGCUGGAGAACUGAGGGGGGCUGCUCCUAGUACGAGAGGACCGGAGUGGACGCAUCACUGGUGUUCGGGUUGUCAUGCCAAUGGCACUGCCCGGUAGCUAAAUGCGGAAGAGAUAAGUGCUGAAAGCAUCUAAGCACGAAACUUGCCCCGA